Molecule: ribosomal RNA, 708 nt
Filed under: uncultured bacterium
Lineage: Bacteria
Description: bacterial SSU rRNA
Rfam family: Bacterial small subunit ribosomal RNA
Source: RNAcentral
GGAUAACACCUGGAAACAGGUGCUAAUACCGCAUAACAGAAGGGGACGCAUGUUCCUUUCUUGAAAACUCCGGUGGUACGGGAUGGACCCGCGUCUGAUUAGCUGGUUGGCGGGGUAACGGCCCACCAAGGCGACGAUCAGUAGCCGGCCUGAGAGGGCGGACGGCCACAUUGGGACUGAGACACGGCCCAAACUCCUACGGGAGGCAGCAGUGGGGAAUAUUGCACAAUGGGGGAAACCCUGAUGCAGCGACGCCGCGUGAGUGAAGAAGCGUUUCGGCGCGUAAAGCUCUGUCAGCGGGGAAGAAACACGUCGCGAGAGCCGCGGACGGUACCCGACCAAGAAGCCCCGGCUAACUACGUGCCAGCAGCCGCGGUAAUACGUAGGGGGCAAGCGUUAUCCGGAUUCACUGGGUGUAAAGGGAGCGUAGACGGCGAGACAAGUCUGGAGUGAAAGGCCGGGGCCCAACCCCGGGACUGCUCUGGAAACUGCCUGGCUGGAGUACAGGAGAGGUAAGUGGAAUUCCUAGUGUAGCGGUGAAAUGCGUAGAUAUUAGGAGGAACACCAGUGGCGAAGGCGGCUUACUGGACUGUAACUGACGUUGAGGCUCGAAAGCGUGGGGAGCAAACAGGAUUAGAUACCCUGGUAGUCCACGCCGUAAACGAUGAUCACUAGGUGUCGGGGGUUAGAAGGCCCCCGGUGCCGCAG